RNAcentral lists this non-coding RNA (201 nucleotides) under Pseudomonas lundensis. Lineage: Bacteria; Pseudomonadati; Pseudomonadota; Gammaproteobacteria; Pseudomonadales; Pseudomonadaceae. The record is from RNAcentral.
GUAGCCUUGCGCGUUCGAGGUUCUUCGCCACGCGAAGCUAAGAAGGGAACGCGGUAUGCCGCGGCUGCCCCCGCAACUGUAAACGGUCAAUUGCCUUGCAAGGCCACUGCUCCAGGGAGCGGGAAGGCGCAAGGAAAGACGCAGCCCUCCGGCUGCUGUCAGCCGUAAGCCAGGAGACCUGCCUCGUGAGCGUUUCUUACU